This is a non-coding RNA of Acanthosepion pharaonis, 97 nucleotides long. The record is from the annotation of a GenBank genome assembly. NCBI's taxonomy places the organism in Eukaryota, Metazoa, Mollusca, Cephalopoda, Sepiida, Sepiidae.
UUACGGCCAUAUCACGUUGAAACACCGAUUCCCAUACGAUCACCAGUUAAGCAACGUAGAUUCUGGGCAUUACCUAGAUGGGUGACCGCUUGGGAAU